RNAcentral lists this long non-coding RNA (4108 nucleotides) under Musa acuminata (dwarf banana). RNAcentral describes it as "long non-coding RNA (MACU_LNC006872)". Lineage: Eukaryota; Viridiplantae; Streptophyta; Magnoliopsida; Zingiberales; Musaceae. The record is from RNAcentral.
UGCCACGGGCGUGUGGAGGUGAUGCUACCGACGGAGCUGGUGAUGGGGAUGAUGCUGUGGGUGGUGGUGGAGAUGAUGACACGGGCGCUGGAGGUGAUGCUACCGACGGAGCUGGUGAUGGGGAUGAUACUGUGGGUGGUGGUGGUGAGUAUACAGGGGAUGAAGGAGAGUGUACUGGUGGUGAUGAUUGAGAUGACGCUAUGGGUGGUGGUGGUGGUGAAUUGAUUGAAGGUGGUGGUUGAGAUGAUGAUCCAGACGGUGGGGGUGGUGGUGAGUUGACUGUAGGAGGUGGAGAAGAAACCGGUGGUGGUGGUAUUACUACUUGUGGAGGUGGAGAUCGGAGCUCUGGUUGGGAUGGCGACGGAGCAAGAGGCGGGGAGGCGAAUGACUGAGGCGGUGGUGUGCUUACAGGUGGUGGUGGAGGAGAAUGCACUCGUGUCACGGGUGACUCGGAAUGCGGAGGUGGUGGUGGUCGUGAUGUUUGGGAUGACGCUACGGGUGGUGGUGGUGGUGAAUUGAUUGAAGGUGGGGGUUGAGAUGAUGAUCCAGAUGGUGGGGGUGGUGAGUACGGUGGAGGUUGUGAUGAAUGAACUGGAGGUGGUGGUGAGUUGACUGGAGGAGGUGGAGAAUAGACCGGUGGAGGUGGUGAUACUACUGGUGGAGGUGGAGAGCGGAGCUCUGGUUGGGAUGGCGACUGAGCAAGAGGCGGAGAGGCGAAUGCCUGUUGCGGUGGUGUGCUUACAGGUGGAGGAGGAGAAUGCACUCGUGUCACGGGUGACUCGGAAUGCGGAGCUGGUGGCGGUGAGUGCACCGGUGUCACUGGCGACUCGGAAUGCUGAGGUGGCGGCGGUGACUUCGCCGGUGCCCUGGGCGUUGGAGGCUUCGGUGAUGAUUUUGGAGGGGUUGCUGCCACCGGCGCAGGCGAUGGCUCCUGAGGUGGCGGUGUCACCGGGUUAGGUGAUGCCUUCGGAGAUGUUGGCGUCGCCGGCUUUGUUGAAGGUUUCGGAGACGGCGUAGCCGGCUUAGGUGAAGACUUCGGAGAUGUCGGUGUGGCCGAAGAGGGAGUGGAAGAGCUCGGAGAAGACCUACAUUUAUCUUUGCUGCAGUCCACAGGGCGACUCAACACCCGAUAACAGGUCUUCGCCGACUUCUGCCCGGGCCGCUUCUCAAGGCAAUUGCCCUUGUCGUCGAAAGCGACAUCAGACCCGGCCGAGGGCACGCACUCGGCGGCUUCGCCCUUGAAGUAGUUGAAGGAGAACGUGAAGUUGGUGAGGCUCGGCAAGCGACAGAGCUUCUCCGGUACCACUCCUGUGAGGACGUUGUGCGACAAGUCCAGGUCCUCCACCUUGCUCAACGCCGCAAAGCUCGUCGGGAGAUCGCCGGUGAGCGAGUUCCAGCUCGCAUCCAACACCGUCGCGUUGCCCAACUCCCCCACCUCGGACGGCAAGCAACCGACGAGCCCGUUGUUCAACAGUACGAGUUCGUUCAGGGUGGCUCCCAUCCUUCCGGUGCUACCGGGAAUGCAGCCGCCGAGCUUGUUGUUGGCCAGAACCACCACCGACGCCGUGGAGUUGCCGAAGUUGUCGGGGAUGGGAGAGCUGAAACGGUUGUCGUUGAGGAAGAUGGCGUCGAGGCCCUUGUCGAAGAGCUCCGGCGGGAGGGCGCCCUCGAAGUCGUUGAACCGGAGGUCGAGGUACCUUAAAGAUGGUAGGCCGACGACGACCAUCGGAAACGGCCCGACGAAGCGGUUGUUGCUGACGUCGAGCUCGUGGAGGAGCACGAGCCGGGAGAAGCUCUUGGGGAUGAUGCCGCAGAAGCGGUUGGAAUUGAUAUGGAAGAGCGCGACCUCGGUAAGGAGGCCGAGCUCGACGGGAAGGUAGCCAGCGAUGUCGGCGCCGUUCAGGUCGACGCCGGCGACGACGGUGAGCUUCGGGUCGUCGAGUGCCGGGGCGCAAAACACGCCACGGUAGCCGCACACGUCGGCGCCGACCCAGUUGCCAGUGAAGUUGGAGGGGUCGGAGUAUAAGGCGUGCCGCCAGGCCUGGAGGCCGAUGUAGGCGCGGCGGAGGCGGGCGUUGGGGAAGCUGAGGUCGACCUUGACGUCGAACUCGUAAUCGUCGGGGAGGUCGCCGUUCUUGGACAAUGCCAGGAGCUGGCGGCGGGCGAUCAGGGCAGCUUCGACGCUUGAGAGAGCUAACGCGGACGACAAGGAGGAGGAGAAGAGAAGGAAGAGGAGGAGGAGAGAGCGGAGGCAGGCCUCCAUGGUGGGCAGAUGGUGUGGCUUCCCCGCCCUGGAAAGCCCAAGGCUGCUAUAAGGGGGAGUGGGAGGUAAGAGGAGGAAGAAGGGGUUGUUAUAGCUGUUGAAGCAGCGGUACGUGAACGGUUAGGCUCCUUUGUUGGAGUUAGUUUGCCUCCUUUAGGUUCGUUUUGGGCGGAGGAAUUGACGGUUGGCGUGGGAUGGUGACCGUUAACCCGCGAAAAAGGAGGGAAAGGUUGUAAUCCCGCGUCUGUGGCUCCCAUUGCCUAAUUUUUUAGAUUUUUUAAUAUAAUUUAUGAUAAAUAAUAAAAAUAGAAUAUUUUAAUAGUUUUAAAGUUCAAAUUAUAUUUUAUUAUGUUGAUAUUCUUCAUUUUUAUCAUUUGAACUCAUGAAAAAUUGAGAGUUCAAAACCUCGUUUCAUAUAAUUAAAUAUCUUCAUAUUUAAUUAAGAAUCUAAUAUUUCAUUCGAUAUAUUUAAAUAUCUUAAAUAUUGAUGUGAAAGUUGAAGGUGCAAAAUAAUUUUCAACUUUAUUCGAUAUAAUUAAAUAUACUUACACAUCUUAUGCCCACCCAAUAAAAUUAUAAAAGACACAUCUUUACCUAAUCAUUGCUCCUCCUGAUAAUUAAGUCCCUCACCCAAACUCAAUUUGUAUGCAUUGAAUUUUUUACAUUAGUUUCAUAUUUAAAACAUUGAUUGAUAUAACUAUUGGUGAAUCUUUACAUUGUGAUCGAGGAGUCAGCAUGGCUUGGUCCAAUCUCGGAUAUGUAAUAUUGCCCAAGCGGAGAAUCGAGUGGAAGAAAUAAACGUCAAGUCGGGUUGGGCUGCGAGCCUCACUACUUACUUCUCUAUCGUAAGCCUUUACACUCAGGACAAGAUCGGGAGGAGGAUUUCCCGACUCAAUCCCUCCGAAGUUUAAAUUAGAAUGGAGUGGAAUGAUAGGGAGUUCAAUAUUCCUUGGCCCUCUCAUUGGUUAGAGGGUUGGCUUUUAUAUAUGCUCUGGGGUGGUCGAUCGUACGCGAUCCUUUAAUGGUCAUCGACUCCUCGGAAGGAUGACUUGUACUCUAUAGACGUGUGUCGACCGACCCAUACUGGUCGAUGCCGUCCCGAGUUUUGCGAAACGACUCUAAGGUGUCUAGCAUCACACGGGUUAGCGUUGUACGAUGUCGUCUCGAGUUUUGUGGAGCAGCUCUGGGUUGUCCGGCACUAAGCGCCGACCGACCCGUAUUGCUUGGCACUAAGGGGUGUCGUGUAGCACCGUCCCGAGCUUUGCGAAACUGCUCUAGGGUGUCCGACGUCGUAUGGGUUGCCACACGCAAUGUCGUUCGGGUUGGCACCGUCCUGAGUUUCACGGAACGACUAUAGGGUGUCCGACACCGACCUAUACGAUGUCAAACAAUGCGAAGGUCGCGUGAUUGUCUCACUCCACGUCAAUCCGGAGGUUCUCUGUUUGCUACCACGUGGGUGAUGCCUAAAUGUAUCGUAUCCCUGAUGAUAUAUAGGAAAUCCAAAUAUAUGAUACAACAAAAAAUAUAAAUAUUUAUCAUAUAAAAUAUAUUUAUAUUUAUAUUGUUAAUAAUAAAAUAAAAAAUAUUAGCCAGCAUGAACUCAUCAGGUAAGAAAACAUUAAUCUGGCACUACCAAUCUAAAAAGCACAAAGUACAAAUCUAAAAUACACAUUAUUACACCAAACUAUCGCCUAAGAACAAACUCUCUCUCUCUCUCUCUCUGAUACAAACUACUUACAGAACACAGCAUUAAUCUGGCACUACCAACUUUCCCAUGUACAUAUCUAAAAAGCUCAUUAUUACACCAAACUAUCGCCUAAGAACAAAGAUUAUCCCCUCCUCUCU